Octopus bimaculoides (California two-spot octopus) is the source of this 736-nucleotide unclassified non-coding RNA. The record is from RefSeq and is a predicted model, not a curated record. NCBI's taxonomy places the organism in Eukaryota, Metazoa, Mollusca, Cephalopoda, Octopoda, Octopodidae.
UGCGUGUGUUAAGAAAUAGCGGAAGUUCUUGGAACACCCAGCAGGCAUGGGAUAUCAGCUAGAACUGCUUGUCUAUGCUGUGUCACCGGCAUACAUGCCUGCUUGCGUUUUGCCUGACUCUCGCCUUCAUAUAGUCUACUUACCGUGUUGGAUGGACUCUCAUUAUAACUUUUCAAAACAGAUACUAGCUUCAACACGCAGGACAAUUUUCUAAAGCUUCGCGAAUAUAGCAGUAAUACUGAGUGCCAAACCAGGGAGUAAAACUAUUAUACAUAUAUAUAUAUAUAAAUACAUUACUUUCACGCCCGUAUGUACGAUAUAUAGAUAAAUAUAUUUUUAUAAAUUAUAUUUAUUUAUAUACGUGGUUGUGAGAAAGAACUUGAGUGAUAAAACAAACGUAAAUGGAUUAACCUGGAUUAAAAAGGAUUACUUUCAAAUAUGGAUUUACGUGCCUGGACAGUACCUUUGGCGACAAGCUGGUUUGUGGUUCUUAUGUUAUUAUUGGAUGUUUCAAUUGGAUCCACUGCAGAUUUGCACGCGCCGUGUUACGCUUGUCGCAUAUUCAACAUCAUGCAGAGGGACAAUCCCAAACAUGACCCAAAGGUAAGUUCAGUUCCAUUCUAUGUCCGAUAGUGGUAAGUACUAAACCAAUUCACUAAAUAUAAAUCAGCGAAUUAAAAAAGAGUGGUGUGUUGUGUGAUGUGUUUGAUAUUAGCGAGUGUUUACGCGCAUAUAG